UAGCUUUGAUAACAAGAGAUAGCUACCUUCCAAAUAUCAUUCAUGCAUACUUCACACUACUCUGGCCCGGUGGCGUAGCGGUUAACUACACUGCCAGGUGUCCCAGAAGGGGCGCGGGUUCGAAUCCUGCAGGGCUCAUUUUAACCAAUUUCCACUGUUAAAUCACCAAACAGUACCGGAAGUCCCCGGGUUCGGAGACAUUCGGGCGCUAAUUCUCACUGAUCUUGUGGGGCUAGAACCCCCCGGGUGCUUCAAGUUAGAUCAGUACUAGGUAGGUUAGUGGGGUGGUGGUGGCGUGGUGGGUGGAGCAACCCGCAGGAUAGCGAAUCAUCGUCAAGCUUAACUGGCCAGGGAUUCAUUGCACUGCCCCAUUCAGCCCCACCAACCUAUCUAGGCACCCCUAAAUUCCGGGGAACUAACAAAUAAAAACUAUCCGAUUAGGACACCCCGGGCCUGGCGAGGACCUAGGUGAGACGAGGCCUAGGCGCCCUUAAUAGGUGGUUAGUGCAAGCAAGGUCGUGACGGCCAAUUGGUAGGCUGGAACUGGGUAGCUCUGGCGUUAUUCUUAGUGAGGAUCCCACUUAGGUAGGCUAGUUAAAGAACCCGGGUGGGCGGCGGCACCCUAGGGGGAAUGAUAACCCCUAAUGGUGGCCCGAGAGGACAGAGGCGGCCGCCGGUUAUAUAGGGUGUUAAAAUAUGUAUAAAGCUUAAGGUGUGAACUGCAGGGGUUUGUCCUGUAGGUAUUUGAUUUUAUUUGCUUUUGAAUUUCAUUUUAUAUUUGACUUUAUAUUCUGUUAGUUGUGGCUUUGGUGAUAGAUUUUGUUUUCAUUCUCUGAAGAUAAUAUUUCAUUUGUGUAUUAUGGUCUUUCUUUCAUUUGUUUUGCUUAUCUUUAAUAUUUAUAUUGUCAUUCUUUUGAUAUUAGUUUCUUUGAUUGAAUAGUUUGAAUAGUUGUUUGAUUCUGGGCUGGAAUUCUGUUAUUGCAUGUACUAAAUUGGUUUUGUUGCUACCGAGUCUCUAACCUAGCAAGCCUCUCACUGGUUAUAAGCUAAGGUCGGGGCUUAUAUAGUGUUGCUGAGCUUGUUCACUAAGUCAGAAGGUAGUGCCACUAUCACAGGCUAAGAUAUAAUGUCAAGAGGAAUAUCUAGAAUGACUAGCAAUAGCUAAGACAGCAGUCUAAGAUAAACAAUAAGAGUAUUUAGUAGGGCUUACAGAGUAGGGUGAAUGCUUAAGGUAUGUGUUGUGAAGAAGUAUACUUAAGGUGAGCUUAUAGUUGUACUAUAUAACUGAGUAUAAGUAAUAGAAUGAAUAAU
This 1311-nucleotide small RNA is filed under the name Histoplasma capsulatum var. duboisii H88. Its description in RNAcentral is "Histoplasma capsulatum H88 hypothetical RNA". Lineage: Eukaryota; Fungi; Ascomycota; Eurotiomycetes; Onygenales; Ajellomycetaceae. The record is from RNAcentral.